RNAcentral lists this ribosomal RNA (460 nucleotides) under uncultured bacterium. RNAcentral's name for it is "partial 16S ribosomal RNA". It matches the Rfam family "Bacterial small subunit ribosomal RNA", at positions 338 to 795 of the family's 1533-position model. The record is from RNAcentral.
CCUACGGGAGGCAGCAGUGAGGAAUAUUGGUCAAUGGACGAGAGUCUGAACCAGCCAAGUAGCGUGAAGGAUGACUGCCCUAUGGGUUGUAAACUUCUUUUAUAUGGGAAUAAAAUGUUCCCCGUGUGGGAUUUUGUAUGUACCAUAUGAAUAAGGAUCGGCUAACUCCGUGCCAGCAGCCGCGUUAAUACGGAGGAUCCGAGCGUUAUCCGGAUUUAUUGGGUUUAAAGGGAGCGUAGGUGGGUUGUUAAGUCAGUUGUGAAAGUUUGCGGCUCAACCGUAAAAUUGCAGUUGAAACUGGCAGUCUUGAGUACAGUAGAGGUGGGCGGAAUUCGUGGUGUAGCGGUGAAAUGCUUAGAUAUCACGAAGAACUCCGAUUGCGAAGGCAGUUCACUGGACUGCAACUGACACUGAGGCUCGAAAGUGUGGGUAUCAAACAGGAUUAGAUACCCUAGUAGUC